GGUUUGUGGCUCAGUGGCAGAGCGCUUGCCUAGCAUGCAUGAGGCCCUGGGUUCAAUCCCCUGCACCA
RNAcentral lists this transfer RNA (68 nucleotides) under Marmota monax (woodchuck). RNAcentral's name for it is "tRNA.Ala". The stretch from base 5 to 65 matches the Rfam family "tRNA", at positions 6 to 65 of the family's 71-position model. From Rfam's summary of the family: Transfer RNA (tRNA) molecules are approximately 80 nucleotides in length. Their secondary structure includes four short double-helical elements and three loops (D, anti-codon, and T loops). Lineage: Eukaryota; Metazoa; Chordata; Mammalia; Rodentia; Sciuridae. The record is from RNAcentral.